AGAGUUUGAUCCUGGCUCAGAACGUACGCUGGCGGCACGCCUAACACAUGCAAGUCGAACGAAGUAGCAAUACUUAGUGGCAGACGGGUGAGUAACAUGUGGGUAUCUGCCCUUUGGCCUGGAAUAACACGAGGAAACUUGUGCUAAUACCGGAUAAGUCUUUACGGAGAAAGCUUUAUGCACCAUUGGAUGAGCCUGCACUUGAUUAGUUUGUUGGUGGGGUAAUGGCCUACCAAGACUGUGAUCAAUAGCUGAUUUGAGAGGAUGAUCAGCCACAUUGGGACUGAGACACGGCCCAAACUCCUACGGGAGGCAGCAGUGGGGAAUCUUGCACAAUGGAGGAAACUCUGAUGCAGCGAUGCCGCGUGAGUGAAGAAGGCCCUUGGGUUGUAAAGCUCUUUCGUCGGGGAAGAAAAUGACUGUACCCGAAUAAGAAGGUCCGGCUAACUUCGUGCCAGCAGCCGCGGUAAUACGAAGGGACCUAGCGUAGUUCGGAAUUACUGGGCUUAAAGAGUUCGUAGGUGGUUGAAAAAGUUAGUGGUGAAAUCCCAGAGCUUAACUCUGGAACUGCCAUUAAAACUUUUCAGCUAGAGUAUGAUAGAGGAAAGCAGAAUUUCUAGUGUAGAGGUGAAAUUCGUAGAUAUUAG
This 647-nucleotide ribosomal RNA is filed under the name uncultured Alphaproteobacteria bacterium. Its description in RNAcentral is "bacterial SSU rRNA". It matches the Rfam family "Bacterial small subunit ribosomal RNA", at positions 8 to 700 of the family's 1533-position model. Lineage: Bacteria; Pseudomonadati; Pseudomonadota; Alphaproteobacteria. The record is from RNAcentral.